RNAcentral lists this ribosomal RNA (497 nucleotides) under uncultured bacterium. Its description in RNAcentral is "partial 16S ribosomal RNA". It matches the Rfam family "Bacterial small subunit ribosomal RNA", at positions 28 to 507 of the family's 1533-position model. The record is from RNAcentral.
GAUGAACGCUGGCGGCGUGCCUAAUACAUGUAAGUCGAGCGAACAGACGAUGAGCUUGCUCCUCUCACGUUAGCGGCGCACGGGUGAGUAACACGUGUAUAACCUACCUAUAAGACUGGUAUAACUUCGGGAAACCGGCUCUAAUACCGUAGAAUAUACUGAACCGCAUUGUGCGAUAGUGAAAUACGGUGGUGCGGUCACUUAUAGAGGGAUCUGGGCCGCAUUAGAUAGUUGUUAAGGUAACGGCUUACCAAGGCAACGAUGCGUAGACGACCUGAGAGAGUGAUCGGCGACAUGGGAGGUGAGACGGGGACAAGAGGCCUAAGGGACGCAGCAGUAGGGAACCUGCGGCAGUGGGCGAAAGCAUGACGGAGUAACGGGAAGCCAGAGAUGACGGUCUUCGGAGCGUAAAAAUCUGUUAUUAGGGAAGAACAACUGUGGAAGUAACUGUGCACGGCUUGACGGUAACUAAUCAGAAAGCAACGGCUAACUACGUG